CAAUAGCGUAUAUUAAAGUUGUUGCAGUUAAAAGCUCGUAGUUGGAUUUGUGGCGUACGGUGUGUUCCGGGCACUUGUUGUCUGAGUAACCUGCUGUUGCCAUCCUUGGGUGGAACCUGUGUGGCAUUAGGUUGUCGUGCAGGGGAUGCCCAUCAUUUACUAUGAAAAAAUUAGAGUGUUCAAAGCAGGCUUAUGCCGUUGAAUAUAUUAGCAUGGAAUAAUGAGAUAGGACUUUUUUGCUAUUUUGUUGGUUUGCGCAAAGAGGUAAUGAUUAAUAGGGACAGUUGGGGGUAUUCGUAUUCCAUUGUCAGAGGUGAAAUUCUUGGAUUUUUGGAAGACGAACUACUGCGAAAGCAUUUACCAAGGAUGUUUUCAUUAA
Molecule: ribosomal RNA, 379 nt
Filed under: uncultured eukaryote
Lineage: Eukaryota
Description: partial 18S ribosomal RNA
Rfam family: Eukaryotic small subunit ribosomal RNA
Source: RNAcentral